This 1367-nucleotide small RNA is filed under the name Pan troglodytes (chimpanzee). RNAcentral describes it as "processed transcript". The record is from RNAcentral. Lineage: Eukaryota; Metazoa; Chordata; Mammalia; Primates; Hominidae.
GAGUAGCUGGGAUUACAGGCGCCACCUAAUUAGCCCGCCACCACGCCCGGCUAAUUUUUGUAUUUUUAGUAGAGACGGGGUUUCACUAUCUUGGCCAGGCUGGUCUUGAACUCCUGACCUCGUGAUCCACCCGCCUCGGCCUCCCAGAGUGCUGGGAUUACAGGCGUGAGCCACCGCACCUGGCCUAAAACUGAUUUUUUAUUAAUUUUGGGGCUUUUAAUAUUUUUUUCUUAUUUCUAAAUUCUGAGGUUAUUUAUAGUAGCCCCAUAUACGGGAUUAGAUAAUCUCUUGUGAUUUUCUAUUUCUGGUAAUUAUUUCUAAUAUAUGUUUUUUUGUUUUUGAGACGGAGUCUCGCUAUGUCGCUCAGGCUGGAGUGCAGUGGCAUGAUCUCCGCUCUUUGUAGCCUCUGCCUCCCGGGUUCAAAUGGUCCUCCCACCUCAGCCCCCCGAGUAGCUUGGACCACAGAGUACGAGUACAUCUGGUUGAAAAAGAAAAGGCAGAGAGAAAAGCAGACUUUUUGGAGUUGUUGUUCUCAGGCACUAACAGAUUCAUCCCUUAUAUGCAUAUGAAUGGACAAUAAGAUUUCUUGGAUAUUUUCAUGGCAAAGGGUAAGAGCGAAGCUAUCCUGGACAAGAACUUUGACAGGACAAUACUAUUCACUCUGAAGGACCAAAAAAUGAGCAGAAAAUUUGGGAUAAAUGUCAACAAGAUUUGAACCCUAAAGAAAAGCAAGCAUCGAGUUAGACAGACGUCCAUAUUCAUUCAACUGGGAAAAUAAAACUGUGCAGUCCCAACAUCAGAAUUUCCUUGGUCAGUUGGUUAUUGCGGGACAGCAUUCUUCUGCAUGACAGUAUUGUCUCCUUACCAGCCACAGAGGAGGCUGUGAGAGAGAGGAUUUGGGAAAUUGGUGCAAAUGAGAAAUCUUGGAAAUCUAGAAUUAAGCCUUUCAGCAGGAAAUCCAGAUGCUCACUAAGUGACUAGAGCAGCUGCAUCAUCUUUAAGAAGAAGGUGCUCAAGAAUCAUCCCAAGCUGAAGAAAAAAGUAUUGGGAACAAAAAAGACCCUUGAAAUGUCUAGAAAGAAAAAUUGAGAUCAAGGACUUUUUCAAGAGAGAUUAGACUUGGACAGGAAGAAAAAUUUGCAGAUUGCUACUACGCAAAGAUUGGAGGAGAAAAUUCAGAAACUUCAGAAACAGCUCAGUGAUUUGAAAUUGUCAAAUAAAAAUAUGAAAACUCAGCUGACAAGAGUAAAUGUCCUUAAAGACAAAACAAUUGAAGAGCUCAGGCAAUCUUUAGCAAAUGUUGAAACGAUGAAAGAGAAGGCAAAUGUUGAAACGAUGAAAGAGAAGGCAGUUGUGAAAACAGAAAA